UACGAAGGGGGCUAGCGUUGUUCGGAAUCACUGGGCGUAAAGCGCACGUAGGCCGAUUGUUAAGUCAGGGGUGAAAUCCUGGAGCUCAACUCCAGAACUGCCCUUGAUACUGACGGUCUCGAGUCCGGGAGAGGUGAGUGGAACUGCGAGUGUAGAGGUGAAAUUCGUAGAUAUUCGCAAGAACACCAGUGGCGAAGGCGGCUCACUGGCCCGGUACUGACGCUGAGGUGCGAAAGCGUGGGGAGCAAACAGG
RNAcentral lists this ribosomal RNA (253 nucleotides) under uncultured bacterium. Its description in RNAcentral is "partial 16S ribosomal RNA". It matches the Rfam family "Bacterial small subunit ribosomal RNA", at positions 524 to 776 of the family's 1533-position model. The record is from RNAcentral.